AGCAGCCGCGGUAAUUCCAGCUCCAAUAGCGUAUAUUAAAGUUGUUGCAGUUAAAAAGCUCGUAGUUGAAUUUUAGGUCCUGGCCGGGCGGUCCGUCUUUGGCGAGUACUGUCCUGUGUCGGGUCCACCUUCUGGUGAACCAGUAUGUCCUUUAUUGGGUGUGCCGGGGAGCCAGGACCAUUACCUUGAAAAAAUUAGAGUGUUUAAAGCAGGCAUUUGCUUGAAUAGAUUAGCAUGGAAUAAUAGAAUAGGACGUUGUGGUUCUAUUUUGUUGGUUUCUAGGACCACCGUAAUGAUUAAUAGGGAUAGUUGGGGGCACUAGUAUUCAAUUGUCAGAGGUGAAAUUCUUGGAUUUAUUGAAGACUAACUAUUGCGAAAGCAUUUGCCAAGGAUGUUUUCAUUAAUCAAGAACGAAAGUUAGGGGAUCGAAGACGAUCAGAUACCGUCGUAGUCUUAACCAUAAACUAUGCCGACUAGGAAUCGGGCGACGUUAUUUUUCAUGACCCGCUCGGCGCCUUAU
RNAcentral lists this ribosomal RNA (520 nucleotides) under uncultured Archaeospora. RNAcentral's name for it is "SSU rRNA". It matches the Rfam family "Eukaryotic small subunit ribosomal RNA", at positions 569 to 1091 of the family's 1831-position model. Lineage: Eukaryota; Fungi; Glomeromycota; Glomeromycetes; Archaeosporales; Archaeosporaceae. The record is from RNAcentral.